Molecule: ribosomal RNA, 465 nt
Filed under: uncultured bacterium
Lineage: Bacteria
Description: partial 16S ribosomal RNA
Rfam family: Bacterial small subunit ribosomal RNA
Source: RNAcentral
CCUACGGGAGGCAGCAGUAGGGAAUCUUCCACAAUGGGCGAAAGCCUGAUGGAGCAACGCCGCGUGGGUGAAGAAGGUCUUCGGAUCGUAAAACCCUGUUGUUAGAGAAGAAAGUGCGUGAGAGUAACUGUUCACGUUUCGACGGUAUCUAACCAGAAAGCCACGGCUAACUACGUGCCAGCAGCCGCGGUAAUACGUAGGUGGCAAGCGUUAUCCGGAUUUAUUGGGCGUAAAGGGAACGCCGGCGGUCUUUUAAGUCUGAUGUUAAAGCCUUCGGCUUAACCGGAGUAGUGCAUUGGAAACGGGGAGACUUGAGUGCAGAAGAGGAGAGUGGAACUCCAGGUGUAGCGGUGAAAUGCGUAGAUAUAUGGAAGAACACCAGUGGCGAAAGCGGCUCUCUGGUCUGUAACUGACGCUGAGGUUCGAAAGCGUGGGUAGCAAACAGGAUUAGAUACCCGAGUAGUC